GAUCAUGCAGUCAUUGCUGGGCCACCCUUCCCUCCUGGGCCUCCAGGCUCCUCCAAGCCUGCCUCUCAGCUCCUCCCAUGGGAGAAGCUCAAACGUCCAGAUGCAGGCCCCUGCCUCUAGCACAGUCUUCUCUUCUAGCUCUGGAUUCCUCAGCAUCGGAGCGUGGAGUCUCCAUACACCUGCCACCAGGUUCCCAUUCCGUUGUAUUGGAGUCUGGGGCUUUGGCUGAACAAGGUCUGCUGUGAGGAUCUCUGGAGUCUUAUUUUUCUUGUGGUCUUGCCCCAUGUCCCGUGAUGCAUGGCCUGGGUCUAGGCCUGCCCUCCCUGGCCCUCUCUGGGGAGGGGCUGGUCCUCGUCACCGUCUGGCCAGGCCUGCACGGCACCUGACAGUGAUUCCUCAAGUCCCCUGGCCUGUGGAGGACAACCUUCAAGCCACCGGCAUCGAAUCCCAGUCUCGCGAUGUUUCUUUGGCAUUUGUUGUGGGAGUUGGUGGUAGAGGAGGUUCAG
RNAcentral lists this long non-coding RNA (506 nucleotides) under Homo sapiens (human). Its description in RNAcentral is "HSALNT0049240". Lineage: Eukaryota; Metazoa; Chordata; Mammalia; Primates; Hominidae. The record is from RNAcentral.